This 254-nucleotide ribosomal RNA is filed under the name uncultured bacterium. Its description in RNAcentral is "partial 16S ribosomal RNA". It matches the Rfam family "Bacterial small subunit ribosomal RNA", at positions 524 to 776 of the family's 1533-position model. The record is from RNAcentral.
UACGUAGGGGGCGAGCGUUGUCCGGAAUCAUUGGGCGUAAAGAGCUCGUAGGCGGCUUAGUAAGUCGGUCGUGAAAGCCCGAGGCUCAACUUCGGGACUGCGGUCGAUACUGCUAUAGCUAGAGUUUGGUAGAGGAGAACGGAAUUCCCGGUGUAGCGGUGGAAUGCGCAGAUAUCAGGAGGAACACCGGUGGCGAAGGCGGUUCUCUGGGCCUUACCUGACGCUGAGGAGCGAAAGCGUGGGGAGCGAACAGG